UACGUAGGGUGCGAGCGUUAUUCGGAAUUACUGGGCGUAAAGCGUGCGUAGGUGGUGAGUUAAGUCUGUCGUGAAAGCCCCGGGCUCAACCUGGGAAUGGCGAUGGAUACUGGCUCGCUAGAGUGCGGUAGAGGAGAGUGGAAUUCCCGGUGUAGCAGUGAAAUGCGUAGAGAUCGGGAGGAACAUCAGUUGCGAAGGCGGCUCUCUGGACCAGCACUGACACUGAGGCACGAAAGCGUGGGGAGCAAACAGG
This 253-nucleotide ribosomal RNA is filed under the name uncultured bacterium. RNAcentral's name for it is "partial 16S ribosomal RNA". It matches the Rfam family "Bacterial small subunit ribosomal RNA", at positions 524 to 776 of the family's 1533-position model. The record is from RNAcentral.